RNAcentral lists this long non-coding RNA (294 nucleotides) under Nicotiana benthamiana. RNAcentral describes it as "long non-coding RNA (NBEN_LNC001695)". The record is from RNAcentral. Lineage: Eukaryota; Viridiplantae; Streptophyta; Magnoliopsida; Solanales; Solanaceae.
UAUAAUGUGAUUUUCAACCUCUAAUUUGAGAAUUAUUUCCUGCUCUACGCAUGAAGAUGUAUCUAAUUUGUUGUUUCAACUAACAGUUGAAUGAUUGAUGAUGAGUGAGGCUUGUUAUAAUGGUACAAACACUUCCACUGCCAACUGAUAGGUGGUGGAAGAUAUUGCUUUGAUACGACUCUAUCGCGUACACGAAGUAGUCAAAAUCUUAGGGAAACCAGUCAAGAGGAAACUUGCAGCUUUCUAUAAUUCUGUUGUCCCUCACACCAGCAUGGCUACAGGUAUCUAAUCAAU